RNAcentral lists this ribosomal RNA (492 nucleotides) under uncultured bacterium. RNAcentral describes it as "partial 16S ribosomal RNA". It matches the Rfam family "Bacterial small subunit ribosomal RNA", at positions 29 to 507 of the family's 1533-position model. The record is from RNAcentral.
AUUGAACGCUGGCGGCAUGCUUUACACAUGCAAGUCGAACGGUAACAGGCCUUCGGGUGCUGACGAGUGGCGAACGGGUGAGUAAUGCAUCGGAACGUACCCGGAGGUGGGGGAUAACGCAGCGAAAGCUGUGCUAAUACCGCAUGUGAUCUGAGGAUGAAAGCGGGGGACCGAGCAGCAAUGUUUGGCCUCGCGCCUUUGGAGCGGCCGAUGUCGGAUUAGCUAGUUGGUGGGGUAAAGGCCUACCAAGGCGACGAUCCGUAGCUGGUCUGAGAGGACGACCAGCCACACUGGGACUGAGACACGGCCCAGACUCCUACGGGAGGCAGCAGUGGGGAAUUUUGGACAAUGGGCGCAAGCCUGAUCCAGCAAUGCCGCGUGCGGGAAGAAGGCCUUCGGGUUGUAAACCGCUUUUGGCAGGAACGAAACGGUGUCCGCUAAUACCGGGCGCUAAUGACGGUACCUGCAGAAUAAGCACCGGCUAACUACGUG